CCCUUAGACGUUCUGGGCCGCACGCGCGCUACACUGACGAAGGCAACGAGCUUUCCUGCACCGAAAGGUGUGCGUAAUCUUUUGAAACUUCGUCGUGCUGGGGAUAGAUCCUUGCAAUUUUUGAUCUUAAAAACGAGGAAUUUCUAGUAAGCGCGAGUCAUCAACUCGCGUUGAUUACGUCCCUGCCCUUUGUACACACCGCCCGUCGCUACUACCGAUUGAAUGGUUUAGUGAGGCCUUCGGAUCCGCGACUCGUUUGUGGAGUAGUUGGACAAACUACAUCAUUUAGAGGAAGUAAAANUCGUANCA
Molecule: ribosomal RNA, 309 nt
Filed under: uncultured eukaryote
Lineage: Eukaryota
Description: partial 18S ribosomal RNA
Rfam family: Eukaryotic small subunit ribosomal RNA
Source: RNAcentral